GCCCUCGUAGCUCAGGGGAUAGAGCACCGGUUUCCUAAACUGGGGGUCACAGGUUCGAUUCCUGUCGAGGGUA
This 73-nucleotide transfer RNA is filed under the name Tuwongella immobilis. Its description in RNAcentral is "Planctomycetes bacterium MBLW1 tRNA". It matches the Rfam family "tRNA". Rfam says of the family: Transfer RNA (tRNA) molecules are approximately 80 nucleotides in length. Their secondary structure includes four short double-helical elements and three loops (D, anti-codon, and T loops). Lineage: Bacteria; Pseudomonadati; Planctomycetota; Planctomycetia; Gemmatales; Gemmataceae. The record is from Rfam by way of RNAcentral.